UACGAAGGGGGCUAGCGUUGCUCGGAAUGACUGGGCGUAAAGGGCGCGUAGGCGGUUCGUACAGUCAGAUGUGAAAUUCCUGGGCUCAACCUGGGGGCUGCAUUUGAUACGUGUGGACUAGAGUGGGGAAGAGGGUCGUGGAAUUCCCAGUGUAGAGGUGAAAUUCGUAGAUAUUGGGAAGAACACCGGUGGCGAAGGCGGCGACCUGGUCCUUGACUGACGCUGAGGCGCGAAAGCGUGGGGAGCAAACAGG
Molecule: ribosomal RNA, 253 nt
Filed under: uncultured bacterium
Lineage: Bacteria
Description: partial 16S ribosomal RNA
Rfam family: Bacterial small subunit ribosomal RNA
Source: RNAcentral